UCUCCAUCUCCCCCUCCCAUGUCCCUAACUUUUGAUCCAAAUUAGCUAUAGAUGUACCACAAACUUCGCUAAUAGCUUUUUUAGCUUCUCUCCUUGCCAAUUUUUUCAAAGGCCUUUCCGUCUUUUGCUAUUGUUAACUUUCUAUACCGUUCUCUUUUCAUUUUAAUAUCCUUUUGAAUUCCCUCACUCACAACCAAGACUCUUG
RNAcentral lists this unclassified non-coding RNA (205 nucleotides) under Hevea brasiliensis (rubber tree). The record is from RNAcentral. Lineage: Eukaryota; Viridiplantae; Streptophyta; Magnoliopsida; Malpighiales; Euphorbiaceae.